Phyllostomus hastatus (greater spear-nosed bat) is the source of this 1115-nucleotide long non-coding RNA. RefSeq lists it as uncharacterized. Lineage: Eukaryota; Metazoa; Chordata; Mammalia; Chiroptera; Phyllostomidae. The transcript has 3 exons. The record is from RefSeq and is a predicted model, not a curated record.
CAGCUAACCAGCUCUGGAGCAGGUGGCGGGGAGGGCGGGCAAAAGGCAGACACCGGCCAGGAAAAGGCGAGCCUUGUCUCCAACAGGAAGAUGUUUUUCUAUUUUACCACCCAAGAGGGAAGAAGGAAGAAGGAAGAAGGAAGAAGGAAGAUUUUUCUCCUUGCCCCGCAACAGCCCAGCCAAUGAGAGACUGUCACAAUGCAGCCGGUGAAAAGCCACUGCACUUGGAACUCCCACUUUCCUCCAGCGGACUGUGUGAGAGCCCCUCCCAGCUCCGUCUUUGUGCAAAGAACAGCCCUCUUCUUUGUCUUACCUGCCUAUGGUUUUGCCAUUAGAUCGAAUGUCCAGAAUUAUAAUGCUUUGUUGGUAAAACAGCUGUUUGAUUUGCCUAGGUCCACAGUGCCAAGCCUCCAAUAAUCCUGGUCAUCGGUGUUGACAGCCAAGGUGUGUUUGAUCAGCACAAGCUUUGGCUGGACCCGGCCAUUUGCCGGGAGAAAUAAAAACACGAAACUCAUUCUCACAGUUUGUUCUGGAGCUCAGUGUGCAGAACCGAAGCCAGAAUGCCUGCUCAGGAGUCCAGAGCAGAUCUCCGUGGUCACAUGGUCUCACAACAACCACGCCAGCAAACCUGGCUUCUUUUGUUCUCGGUACAAAGGACGCCUCCCUUGGAGAUGUGAGCCCAGAGCCGCUCUUCCUUCAGAAGGAUCUUAACGAAGCAGGUGAAGGAAUGACCAAACAUUGACUUUGGACCUGUCCCUCUGAUGGCGUCAUCGUGCCGUCACAGUCCGGGGAGGGGAGGGUUUACACCCAUUGGAUGGACGAGGCAGCUGAAGAUCCGAGGGGUGUGGGGAGCCGCACGGUCGGUGGGACUCGGGGUGGGGACAGCACUGUGGGUCCUGCUCUUCGGGCGCCUCCAGGGACACUCACCACACUGUGCUGUGAUGAUCUGUACCGGUCACCCUCCCGCCCAUGCGCCUGUGUGUUACUGGUGGGCAAAGACUCCCUAAGACUUGUUUAGCCGGCAAUGAAAAUGAGACUUGGCCCAUCGCCAAUUGGCAACACAUUCUGAAUGAAUGAAUGAAUGAAUGAAUGAAUGAACAAAUAAACUCUAUGGA